AACGAACGCUGGCGGCGUGCCUAACACAUGCAAGUCGUGCGAGAAAGUUCCUUCGGGAGCGAGUAAAGCGGCGCACGGGUGAGUAACACGUAGGUAACCUGCCCCCCAGUCUGGAACUACUAGAGGAAACUCUAGCUAAUGCCGGAUGAGACCACGAUCCCUUCGGGGGUUGCGGCCAAAGAUGGCCUCUACUUGUAAGCUAUCGCUGAGGGAUGGGCCUGCGGGCCAUUAGCUUGUUGGUGAGGUAACGGCUCACCAAGGCUGUGAUGGCUAGCUGGUCUGAGAGGAUGACCAGCCACACUGGGACUGAGACACGGCCCAGACUCCUACGGGAGGCAGCAGUGGGGAAUAUUGCGCAAUGGGCGAAAGCCUGACGCAGCGACGCCGCGUGGGUGAUGAAGGCCU
Molecule: ribosomal RNA, 405 nt
Filed under: uncultured bacterium
Lineage: Bacteria
Description: bacterial SSU rRNA
Rfam family: Bacterial small subunit ribosomal RNA
Source: RNAcentral